CCAUCUUCUGGAGUCCGGGCAGCUCCGCGUUCCCGCUCUCGGAGGACCGCGUCGCUUAAGGUGCCGAAGGGAGGGUCGGGUUGGAGGGGAGCGCAGAGUUUGAGGGUUAGGUGGAUCCCCGCGAGGAGCCGGGAUAUGUCGAAGCACCCAUUACUCUUUGCUAUACCUUGUGACAGUGACAGAAAAAUGACUUAUCCUGCAACUGAAAGGAGAGAAAAGUGUUAAGGCAUUAAUUGAGAAGGAAUGGGGUACCAACACUUGAAAUAGGGACACCUGCUUGGGUCCAGAUGAAAGUGACAAUCUUGAAUACCCAAGCCACCCUGAGCCUCCCUUGGCAGUGGGAGUAGCUUGUCCUCCUGUGUCUGAGGAGACUAGCUGAACUUUGCUUGAAACUCCUGUGAAACCCUCACCUGCAGCAGAUGAUUUGAAGAACGCAGCACAGGUCUGCGCUUCCUUCCUAACAGCUGCUGCUUUCUCCAGGUGAUCACUUUUCCACUCAACAGUUAUUUCAUCCCCUGGAUGGCAAACAGGUCAAUAUGUUAGGUGUUAAUGGCUCUUAGAACUCAUUCUGGGUGAGUCACACACUGCGGCCUAUUUUCAGUUGCCGAUUUUCACUCUGGACUCUUGCCCAACAUUCCGUUUCAAUCAUGUGCCACUUGGGGAGCGCCUGCUGCUGAAUUCCUAAGACAAUCCAAUCCAAGGAAAAUAAUGGCACGUCAUGCUAAUAGCUCCCAGCGAAGGUGUUGCAGAGAGAAAUUCCCAGCGUAUGUCUCACUGCCCAAGGCUUAGCAGUUCCCAGCUUGAGGAAGGAGGGUGGGACAGGAACCUGCCAACUCGACAGUGUGUUCAUGUGGAGGCUUUCAAGCCUUGCCAACUUGAAACAACACUGAUGAAGAGAGGAUGCUUCCCCAGACUCCAGACAGGAACGCCUCCUGUUCAGGGCCCAGCAUGACUGCAGAUGCUGCCAGAGAUAAAACCUUCCAGGAACCACAGUGUAAACCAUGCAAAGUACAAUCAAAACAGGGCUAUUCCUGAAAUGAUAUACGGAGCCAUCUUUUGGGACCUCAUACCUGGAUUUUCUUUCAAUGACUUCAAAAGUGAAGGCUUGGUAGCAAAAUAGUACAGUAUGGAAUAUGGAAAUUCUUUGUACUAUCUGUUCACUUUUCCUGUAAGCCUAAAAUGAAAAUUAAAUGUACAGUCUAUUAAUUAAAAAAA
Molecule: long non-coding RNA, 1215 nt
Organism: Phyllostomus discolor (pale spear-nosed bat)
Lineage: Eukaryota; Metazoa; Chordata; Mammalia; Chiroptera; Phyllostomidae
Exons: 4
Source: RefSeq, a predicted model, not a curated record